RNAcentral lists this ribosomal RNA (440 nucleotides) under uncultured bacterium. RNAcentral's name for it is "partial 16S ribosomal RNA". It matches the Rfam family "Bacterial small subunit ribosomal RNA", at positions 338 to 795 of the family's 1533-position model. The record is from RNAcentral.
CCUACGGGGGGCAGCAGGGAGGGAUAUUGCACAAUGGGGGAAACCCUGAUGCAGCGACGCCGCGUGAGUGAAGAAGUAUUUCGGUAUGUAAAGCUCUAUCAGCAGGGAAGAAAAUGACAGUACCUGACCAAGAAGCGCCGGCUAACUACGUGCCAGCAGCCGCGGUAAUACGUAGGGGGCAGGCGGUAUCCGGAUUUACUGGGGGUAAAGGGAGCGUAGACGGUUAUGUAAGUCUGGAGGGAAAGCCCUGGGCCCAACCCCGGGACUGCUUUGGAAACUGUGUAACUGGAGUACAGGAGGGGCAGGCGGAAUGCCUGGUGUAGCGGUGAAAUGCGUAGAUAUCAGGAAGAACACCGGCGGCGAAGGCGGCCUGCUGGACUGCAACUGACGUUGAGGCUCGAAAGCGUGGGGAGCAAACAGGAUUAGAUACCCGUGUAGUC